GCCGACGUAGCCCAAUGGCAGAGGCACAGCACUUAGGAUGCUGUCAGUGAGAGUUCGAGUCUCUCCGUCGGCA
RNAcentral lists this transfer RNA (73 nucleotides) under Acidimicrobium sp. BACL17 MAG-120924-bin0. Its description in RNAcentral is "tRNA-Leu". It matches the Rfam family "tRNA". From Rfam's summary of the family: Transfer RNA (tRNA) molecules are approximately 80 nucleotides in length. RNAcentral also lists the same sequence under 4 other names. The record is from RNAcentral. Lineage: Bacteria; Bacillati; Actinomycetota; Acidimicrobiia; Acidimicrobiales; Acidimicrobiaceae.